Molecule: ribosomal RNA, 508 nt
Filed under: uncultured bacterium
Lineage: Bacteria
Description: partial 16S ribosomal RNA
Rfam family: Bacterial small subunit ribosomal RNA
Source: RNAcentral
AUUGAACGCUGGCGGCAUGCCUUACACAUGCAAGUCGAACGGCAGCGGGGGAGAAGCUUGCUUUUCCUGCCGGCGAGUGGCGAACGGGUGAGUAAUACAUCGGAACGUGCCCUGUAGUGGGGGAUAACUAGUCGAAAGAUUAGCUAAUACCGCAUACGACCUGAGGGUGAAAGUGGGGGACCGCAAGGCCUCAUGCUAUAGGUGCGGCCGAUGUCUGAUUAGCUAGUGGGUGGGGUAAAGGCCUACCAAGGCGACGAUCAGUAGCUGGUCUGAGAGGACGAUCAGCCACACUGGGACUGAGGCACGGCCCAGACUCCUACGGGAAGCAGCAUGGGGGAAUUUUGGACAAUGGGCGAAAGCCUGAUCCAGCAAUGCCGCGUGUGUGAAGAAGGCCUUCAGGUUGUAAAGCACUUUUGUCCGGAAAGAAAUGGCUCUGGUUAAUACCUGGGGUCGAUGACGGUACCGGAAGAAUAAGGACCGGCUAACUACGUGCCAGCCGCCGCGGUAA